This 253-nucleotide ribosomal RNA is filed under the name uncultured bacterium. Its description in RNAcentral is "partial 16S ribosomal RNA". It matches the Rfam family "Bacterial small subunit ribosomal RNA", at positions 524 to 776 of the family's 1533-position model. The record is from RNAcentral.
UACGGAGGGUGCAAGCGUUAUCCGGAUUCACUGGGUUUAAAGGGUGCGUAGGUGGGAAUGUAAGUCAGUGGUGAAAUCUCCGUGCUUAACAUGGAAACUGCCAUUGAUACUAUGUUUCUUGAAUUAUCUGGAGGUCAGCGGAAUAUGUCAUGUAGCGGUGAAAUGCUUAGAUAUGACAUAGAACACCAAUUGCGAAGGCAGCUGGCUACAGGUAUAUUGACACUGAGGCACGAAAGCGUGGGGAUCAAACAGG